CACGUAGGCGGAUCUUUAAGUCAGAGGUGAAAUCCCAAGGCUCAACCUUGGAACUGCCUUUGAUACUGGAGAUCUUGAGUCCGGGAGAGGUGAGUGGAACUGCGAGUGUAGAGGUGAAAUUCGUAGAUAUUCGCAAGAACACCAGUGGCGAAGGCGGCUCACUGGCCCGGUACUGACGCUGAGGUGCGAAAGCGUGGGGAGCAAACA
RNAcentral lists this ribosomal RNA (207 nucleotides) under uncultured bacterium. RNAcentral describes it as "partial 16S ribosomal RNA". It matches the Rfam family "Bacterial small subunit ribosomal RNA", at positions 568 to 774 of the family's 1533-position model. The record is from RNAcentral.